Coturnix japonica (Japanese quail) is the source of this 5423-nucleotide non-coding RNA. The record is from RefSeq and is a predicted model, not a curated record. NCBI's taxonomy places the organism in Eukaryota, Metazoa, Chordata, Aves, Galliformes, Phasianidae.
CUUUAUUUUGAAAUAUGCAGAUAAAGGCUACUUUACUGAUGAAAAAUAAGUGAUUGGUUUCAUUUUUAGUGAAAAUCAAAGUUUUCAAAAGAAGAAGAAGGAAAAAAACCAAACAACUCACCCACCAUCAGUCAACCAGAAAAAAAAAGCAAUAGAAAUAUAUUUUCCAGAUCAAAGACAGAUUUCAGUGUUCCUAACUGCUAGGUUAUAAUUAAAAAUGAGACAAGAACAAUUAAAGAGAAGAUUUCAAGUUAUUCACAAUUAUAACUUCGAUAUGGUUCAGGAAAGAUGAAACUCAGGGCUAGACUGUGCUUGAUCACACGUGGAAACAGAUCUGCUAUACCAACUUAGUUAGCUGGUUAGUGCAUGUAAGGAAAUAUUGGCUUUAGAAAUUCAUACAUUGGAGCUGGAAGACCUGUGAAGCAGCAGAGCUUUCAAUUACCCUACUAGAGGCACUAGACAUUUGAAAAGUAACCCCAGGUAUUUUUUUGUCCCUGGCCCCAGUAAAAGACUGUAUCACUAGAGUGACACAAUACUGUAGAGAACGUGACAUUAUUUUAAUAUAUCAGCUGUAUACAGAAAUGGCUUAAAGUGGUUAUACAGACUUGAUCUAUUUACUUUUUGGCCCCUGUAACACAAUUGCUUUUCUCUCAACAGUUUGGUGCAUCAUUCAGAUCUCACAGCAUGAGCUUUUUUCUUCGUCACAUUUUUUUUCUUUUUCUCACUAACAACCACAUGGAUAUUUGUUUUUGUCUUUCAGUGAAGAUCCUAUUAAUGCCCUCAGGUAUAAACAGAACAGCCUGGAGAAUCAAACACAAAACUCUCCACUCAUGUAGAGUGUCAGUUCCAGAAGGAACAUGUGAUUAACAAAAUAAGAACAUAUAUAUGAAUAUUUUAUUUGCCACUAUAACUCAAAAUAAUACAAUACAAUACAAUACUAAAAAUAAUUUUGAAUGCUCAAUAUGCAGUAGAGUUCAGAUUACAUAAUAUGUUGUAUAAAUUAUGUAGAAAUAGAUUUAAAAUUAUUUGAAACAGCUAUAUUAAUUAAUAGUAGAAUUAGGCAGUUAACGUUAUCAGUGGAGCAUUUCUGGAUAAUGAACAUAAGGCUCCAACUAACUUAUUUGCUAAUAAUAUUAAUUAUCUGCUCUGAGUUUACUACUCUGAAAUUAGUAUUUAAGAAAUAGCAGAAAUACCGAAAUGAAAUGAUUUACAGCCUUCCUGCUGCCUGAUGUCGGCAGCACAGUGAUAUACAACAGGAUCCGGGAGAGCACAAGCACUUUCUUGUUCAGCUAAGCAAUUUGCUUGGAUGCUUAGAGGAACCCACUUUUUAUCACAGAAGGAGAAGAUUCAAAUCUUCUCCAUCUGUGAUAUAAAGGAAAGUAUCUGUUGCCCUAGAAAAGGUCCUUCUAUGCUGUAAAUGGAAGUGCAGAGUAGAUGAAAUGCAAGCCAUCUAAACCUUGUAUCUGCAAUGAAAUGAAUCAUUUUAUCUUAGGUUUCUGAAUGAUGCUUGUUACCAUAGCCUCAGCGUAGCCUACAGUCACAGAUGAGCUUGCCUUCUCAUCUGCUUAACACAAUAUUUUGCAAACUUCAUAAAUAUUUAGCUUAGCAUUUAGAGAAGCCACCUCUAAAUUGGGUGCCUCAUUAUCUAGGUACUUCACCUGAGAUGCUCAAGUCAUGUCUUAUAACUACUAUCCACUUGUGACUUCAUCUGGCUUCAGCUGUACUGACUUAUUAUCAUCUAUGGAAAGAGACCCAGGCUGUCUGAGGCUGGGAGCCCAGAAAGCAAGGAAUAUAUUAUUAGCAGCCCAGUGUGAUUGUUGUCUUAGUAUAAAACAAAAAUCCACAAUGUUUCAGUCUGGAAUCAACUUCUACCGCAGACUGCACUGAUCCUGACUUUACUAAGUUUAUAGCUAUCUGUUUAAAUUCUUAUUGCUAACCUCAUCCUUUGAAACAAUGCAUGUGGUUCUUUCGUUUAUAUAUACAAGCUGCAUGGUGAAAAUAGUAGCGCAAUCCCUUCCAAAAGACAGGGUGUGCCAGUCAAGCUGAAUUCUUACAUAUGUGCCCUAGUAAAAUGUCAGUAUGACAGUCCUCACAACUAUAACAACAAGAAGGUUCCCAAAAAAACUCCAGAGGAUUCUUCUGAUUGACAUUUGUUCUUAUACUGUGCAAACAAAAAUUGGCAAAUACAUUUUAAGGAAGAUUUUCUCUGCAUUUACAUUUAAACCAAUGUAAAGAAUCAGAAAAUUUGGAUUUUACCUUCAAGGAAGAAUUAGACUCCAUCUACACUGCGGAAUAUAUUACUUCCAUAAAGAAGGCAUUUGAUUAGAGAUUAUAAAUGCUUGAUUGUAAAUGGAACUUUUCUCAUAGUACAUGACUGACACGUAGAGAACAUUAAUUUUCAUGUCUCUUUUUCUUUUCCUUUCUCACCAUCAUGCAGCAAAUGCUUGAGUGCCUAGGGGAUACAGUCUGGUUUCCAGAAAGCCUCCUUUUGGAGAUCAGGAGAGCUAGAGUAUUGGGCAGAAGUAUUUCCCACCUCCCUCCUCCUUGCCAAGCCCUCCAAUAUCCCAGAAAUUUGUUAGGUUUGAUGGAAGCUCAUAUGAAUGCCUAACUUGUCUGUGCCCAGUACUGUGUUGAGCACAAUGACUUUGGGAAGCUAGAAGUGCACUUUGUUGUGUUGCAGCCCAGGUGUGCCAUGUGCUGAACAUCAUUGUAAGGGAUAGGACUGGCUCCUGCCAAGAACUUCAGAUUCCAUGUCCUUUUUCCUUUGAAGACUCAUUACAUGAUCCUAUUUAUUCUACCUGAGCCUUAGCACUUUGGGUCUGCUAGGAUAAAGACCUUCCUCGAAUGCACUUCCUAGGCUCAUUCUAGGUCUUCCAUUUGAUCUGUGUGGUGCAAUGCAAGAGGCAACAAGCCCACCCAGAGCACCGGAGUAGUACAGAAAAGCAUUAGUAGUGGUCCAUGCGAGCCAGAUGAGAACUGCUGCUAAAUUGGGGUUCAUAAAACCUAUUUGUUUCCUGGCAAAGACACUGGUUCUUCUUUGCUCUGCAUUUUCUCUGAGCAGCUAUACCUCCUUCAUGAAGGGCAUGCCUGCAGCCCUUUCUCUUUGAUCUGUAGAUUACUCUGUAAAAGGUGCGGCUUCGUAAUCUGAUUUUAGUUACCUAAUUUAGGUAGUGUUAAGAGUCCACAUCCUAAGAUACCUACAUUUCUCUGCAAGCUGUUACAGAGAAUUUAGGCUCUUGAAUAAAGGUAUUGCAUAUCAAACAAUCAAAUGGCUUGAAAACAGAUGUUGUAUUUGUUCUUUGAAGCCCAGAAGAAUGGAGAUCAAAUCACAGCUACAACUUAUUAUUCUAUAACCCAGAUAUUUACUUCAAGAAACAAUUAUCAGAAAGUUAAUCAGAGAAUUACAGAGCAUACUGAGUUGGAAAGGACCUGCAAGGAUCAUUGAGAUCAGCUCCUGGCUCCACACAGAACCACCAAAAAUUUAAAUCCUAUGUCUUAGAGCAUUGUCCAAAUGCUCUCUGAAAUACAGCACCUCAUGGCCAUGACCACUUCCUUGGAUAGCCUGUUUGUGCCCACCAAUGUAUGGUGCAGAAUCUUUCCCUAAUACCCAACCUGACCCUCACCUGAUGGAGCUCCAAGCCAUAAAUGUUGGAACAAAAUGAAUUGCUGAAAAGAAAUUUGACUUCUGGCUCACUGUUCUCCUUUCUUGGGCUUUUAUUCAGUUCAAAGUAAGUCAAGAGAGAAUUAUUUCAGAGCUACCAAAGUACUCCGUAUGGGAAGAGUUCCCUUACAGCAUCUGGUAACAAAGAGAAGUGAGUGGCUGCACCAUAGGGUUACAUUCCUGGUGUGCAGUACCUUACGAUACUGUUGUUGGAGAAUAAGUAAAUGAAAAGUUGAAGUGGUUGUGGGGCUGCAACUAAUGACUGGAAAUAUACAGAAGUGACAACUUUGACAAAUGCUCCUACAGCCAAACACUACCGAGGUAACUACCCUAGCUGCAGCCAGCAAUGAUAAAGUGAAAGGUCUUGAAACAACAAUCAUAGAAAUCAUAAACAUUACUGUCUCUUUUUGAAUUAAGAGAGUAUGUUUUUAUUCUUUGUAAUAGUAAAGCACUGAAGUAACCUACUGGAGGGCCUAAAAGAACUCAUGUUGAAGAUCAGCAUUGCAGAGCUAAUGAUGAUAGCCAGACACAGGGAGGUAGCAAGAGCAACAGUGAAGCUAGGGAGCAGCAAAAGCAAAGAAAAAUGGCCUGUGCUUCUUAGAUUUGCUAAGGAGAUGAGACUAUGUUUGGACACAUUCCUUGGACUUAAGAAAGUUAAUAAACCUUCCUUCACCAAAGUCCUUAUGCAGAUUUAUUACUUCUUUUAGUGGCUUACUGUUUAAUAUUGUCUCUUUGCCCUGUUAUUAAUCUCACAUUCAUUCAGGCCUCUUUGACUUCUGGAGGGACUCCUCAUGCUUUGUGCCUUCAUCUCCCAGGUUUCAGAGAGGGAGGCUUAAAGCACAGGUGAGUGCUUUUCAGUCUGAAUGAGCAUAAUUGAGUAAUGAUUGCUACCAUCGAGGCAACCAAAAACUUCCAGUUCAUCAUUAUCUUUCAUAAUGGGAUCUAAAGCUGACUGACUGCAUGAGCAGUACAGCACCUCUUGUGCUGAAUUAUUACUCUGCAUUUUUAGGAGCUCUUACUACAGUCUUUCACAGAAUGUUCCUCCCUUUGCACUUGUUCUUAGAGAGAAGAUCUGUGUGACUACAGCUCACUGGAUGGUGCAGUACUUUCCCCUGCAUCUGAGAGUUCUUUCCUGGCUGUGUGGUUUUGUGUCUGAAUACAGCACCUCUGAAAUCAGUACAAAGGUUUUAUGACUGGUGGGAGCUCAAUCUUCCCUUGCAUUCUGGAAGCCAGGGGACAGGUGGGAAUGUGAUGUGUCAACUGGAGAAAGAUGUGUAGACCUAUUGCCUUGCAGCUCGUUGGAGAAGACUGCAGCUGGGGGCCCCUGCAGUGCCAUGGAGUCAGGUCUUGGAGCAACAUAACCAUGGAAGCACCAAAUGUCUUCCAUCAGACCUAAGGGUGAGCUUUUUUUCCCCAUCUAAAGGCCAGAUAAUCCUUCUGCCCACCACAAGAACACAUAAUCAAAUUUAAAAAAUAAUAUCCCCCAAACCAAAAAUUUUUCUUCUGGGGUCAUUUCAGUUAUUUCAGUUAGGUGAAGCAAGCAAUAACUGACAAAGGAAUAUUUUUAUCUUGAGGGCUUUUCCCAUCUGCUUCUAAUGAUCCUCUUGACAGCCUUGUAGAGAAUUCUGACUGAGUGGGACAUUAAAGAGCAAGACUGCAUGAACUUUUCAUGCAUUACAUUUUCAAGUAUUGUUCACGUACCUCAUAGAUGGCAUAAUCGAUGUGCCUGCUGGCAUUCCUCUGCAAAAAAAAAAAAAAAAAA